GUGGGGAAUUUUGCGCAAUGGGCGAAAGCCUGACGCAGCAACGCCGCGUGGAGGAUGAAGGCCUUCGGGUCGUAAACUCCUGUCAGUGGGGACGAAUGCUUCGCAAGAAGUUUGACUGUACCCGCUGAGGAAGCCACGGCUAACUCCGUGCCAGCAGCCGCGGUAAUACGGAGGUGGCAAGCGUUGUUCGGAAUUACUGGGCGUAAAGGGCGCGUAGGCGGCAUUGCAAGUCAGAUGUGAAAGCCCCGGGCUUAACCCGGGAACUGCAUCUGAAACUGCUUUGCUUGAGUCCUGGAGGGGAUAGUGGAAUUCCCAGUGUAGCGGUGAAAUGCGUAGAUAUUGGGAGGAACACCUGCGGCGAAGGCGGCUAUCUGGACAGUGACUGACGCUGAGGCGCGAAAGCUAGGGGAGCGAACGGGAUUAGAAACCCCAGUAGUCC
Molecule: ribosomal RNA, 439 nt
Filed under: uncultured bacterium
Lineage: Bacteria
Description: bacterial SSU rRNA
Rfam family: Bacterial small subunit ribosomal RNA
Source: RNAcentral